UUAAAUGCAGACCCAAGCAAAGUGACAUGUAAUACAAACACACUCAAAUUUCUCCAGCGUAUGAUUAUGAUUCUUUUACCGUGCUUCGAUACGUAUAUCGUGAUUAAAUGUGAUUCAUGAGAUUACAAAUACAUCAUCAAUAAGAUUCUAACACACUGGCACUUAUUGCUUAUAAAAUUUAUAAAAUCAAUCUGCAUAGCUUAAUAUUGUCUUUAAGCACACCAAUGACACUUAAUGAAAAUACACCACAAAAGUACCUCUCACAGAAAAAGGAGUAGUUGCCAAACCCACACUGGAAAGGAAAGGCAACCAUAGGCCAGCAAACAGUGUCCAUGACAAACACUUGUACAGUUGAUAACCUCUUGUACACACUGCAUCUGGCAAUAAAGAGGAGACCAGGCAUCGAAGGUGACCUAAAAACAACUGCAAAUCUUGACCCAUGGAUUGAUACUUUGCUUCAAGUGCAUGAGCUGUUUGAGAGGGAGUGGUCACAGGAGAAAUUCCUGUGGCUGAACACCAUCGGAAGGUUCAAAGGGCAGUCGUGGAAUUACUUUUGGGACUGAGGAAGACAUGGUUGCUUGUAGACUGGACUUCCUACUUACAACCGAAAUUGAACAAAAAUGCCUGAAUGCAGCCUGCCCUGUAGCAAAAAGGAGGUACAACUCUGUUGAUAUCUUGAUGUGCAGAUUUUGGUAACUUGCAGACUGAUAUUGACAAGUGGGCCAAUGAGUCGCUAAAAGUGGUUCCUUGCAAAAGCCAGCAGCUGUGACAUAUCACCUGGGUGCUGCAAAUCACUUUGUGGCAUUCCACAAACUGGGUAUGGAUAAAGCUGGCAUUUUUAUGAUGGCCUUGAAGAAUGUCACAACCCUGGAAGAGGAGACACUGUCAUCACAGAGACGACCAUCAGAAAAAAAAAAACUUGGGCUAACUCCCGUGUUGGCCACAUUGUUAUGGUCAGGGACAAAGCAGCAGAAACUGUUGAAGCCAGGCACAAAAGAAAUGAAGAGCUUGUUAAGUUCAUUGUGGACCACAACGGUGUUGAUGAAACACUUAGGGCCAUUGUCUCUGGUGAGGAGCAGCCACACUUAACUUUUGAGGAAUGGUGGGUCCCAGUCAUCUUUGAUGAUAACACCCAGCUGGACUGUGAAAUACCUGUCAGACUUCCUUGACAUCUGUGACACCUUCUCUGCUGAAGUCAGCAACAUGGUUUCUUCUGACAGGAUCAAAUACAUCCUGAAUGUGAUGCUGUCAGAGACUUCAACCCAGAGGAGAAGAGCAGCUGCUUUGCUUGGACUUCCAUAUUACCUGAAGGAAGAUCCCAACAGUUUCAUCAGUGUCUGUGAGGUCAGAAUGUCACAGCCAAGUGUUUUCACCCUUUCCACUGCUGGUUGCUCCAGUUAACUGGGAGACAAGCAGGUGGUGGGUUCAUAUCUUCACUGGCCUCUUGCUGUUCCUGUCAUCAUGGGAUUCUCCUAUUGACUUGUCCUUCCUUGUCCACCUGCCUGUUUUGGUGGAUAACAGCAGCGUUGCCAGUUUUGUCACUGUCCCUACAGCCAUAAUAAUCCCUGUUGUGACUGGCCUUCUCAUUCCCAGUUUAGGCUUAAAUUUGAAGCUUGAUUUUAACUGGUGAGGAGUCAGCCCCAUUAUAUAAAGUGGAAUGUAUUUCUGGUUCCAGAAAACACAUCCAAGGAUAUUAAUGGCUUUAGAGGACAAGAAGAAAAUCCAUCUAAACCGCUUUUGCUGUUGAAGGUCACAGGUGGACUGGUGCCCGUCUACACACACUGGGCAAGAGGUGUAGGAAAAUCCUGGAUGAGUUUCCAACUCAUCUUGCAUGGAAAAAAUACAAUCAAAAUGUCCUGAGUCCUCUUUGAAGAGAGCUCAUACAAUCAAUCAUAGUUCCCACCGUGUUGGAUGCACAGGCCAGCAUAAAGAAAUAAAGAAAGGUGCAGGACGCACCGGUGCAAGACGCACCACAAACACUGACCUAUGUACCACACCAGUGAUGAACCAACUAUAUACAAACUAUAUACAAAUGUACAAUAGAAGCCUAUAGGUCUUCCAAUCACAGUCUCAAGCGCUUCUUUGGUGCAGACAGGCUGCUCUCUUCCUCUGUCACCUUCCUCUUCCUCAGCGCGGAAGUCUUUGCACACUGUGCCGAGUUUUUGGUAAACUGACAGAGCGCUGACAUCAGAACGUGGCCGUCGGUGCUGUAGUCGGUCACUCUCCAGCAGUUGGCCCUCUCAGUGCUAUCGGAGCGGUAAACAGUGGAGAUGACUCUGGUGAAAGUGCUGCCAUCAAGAUCCAUGUUGCGGACACAGUUCCUACGGUCUGCCUUCAGGGCUGCCAUCGCCGUCCUCUCAGGAAGAACUGGAGUCAUCAUAGUUGGAGGAGAAGAGCUGGAGUCUGCAGCUGGCACCAUCACACCUGCUGGUGCGUCUGUUAAAGGAGAUGGCGUGUUGUUCUCUCUCUGCUCCUGCUCAGUCUGGACAAAGGGUGUGACCGUCUGAACUGAACUCAGGUAUCCUUUGAAGGGAAUUACAGGGAAACUCUUAGAACCGCUGAUUAGGCUGUGAUACAUGCUGAGUAUGGACUCCCUCAUCGACUUGAUGUUCGCAGCUCUCAGAGGUCGGUUUCGUAGGUUUGUAAGAAACAGUUGAAGGAUUGGUCCUGGCCUCGGCAGGUUAGCUACAUGGACAAGAAAAAAAGAAAACAGUCACAUUAGUCAGCUUGUCAUUAAACAGCUUUCAAUCCAGAUUCAGAUUCAGAUUUUCUAUCAGCCCCACUUACAAUAAAAUGUUACUGUCAA
This is a long non-coding RNA of Thunnus maccoyii (southern bluefin tuna), 2806 nucleotides long. RefSeq lists it as uncharacterized. The record is from RefSeq and is a predicted model, not a curated record. The transcript is spliced from 7 exons. NCBI's taxonomy places the organism in Eukaryota, Metazoa, Chordata, Actinopteri, Scombriformes, Scombridae.